This 508-nucleotide ribosomal RNA is filed under the name uncultured bacterium. Its description in RNAcentral is "partial 16S ribosomal RNA". It matches the Rfam family "Bacterial small subunit ribosomal RNA", at positions 28 to 523 of the family's 1533-position model. The record is from RNAcentral.
GACGAACGCUGGCGGCGCGCUUAACACAUGCAAGUCGAGCGAGAACCAGUCCUUCGGGACUGGGGAAAGCGGCGAACGGGUGAGUAACACGUGGGUAAUCUGCCCUCGGCACUGGGAUAGCCCGGGGAAACCCGGAUUAAUACCGGACAGCCUUUCGAGCCUUCGGGCUCGCCAGAAAAGGUGGCUUCGGCUUCCGGCUGAGGAUGAGCCCGCGGCGGAUUAGCUUGUUGGUGGGGUAAUGGCCUACCAAGGCGACGAUCCGUAGCUGGUCUGAGAGGACGAUCAGCCACACUGGGACUGAGACACGGCCCAGACUCCUACGGGAGGCAGCAGUGGGGAAUCUUGCGCAAUGGGCGAAAGCCUGACGCAGCGACGCCGCGUGCGGGAAGAAGGCCUUCGGGUUGUAAACCGCUUUCAGGAGGGACGAAGCCACUCGGGUUAAUAGCCCAGAGGGUGACGGUACCUCCAGAAGAAGCCCCGGCUAACUACGUGCCAGCCGCCGCGGUAA